RNAcentral lists this ribosomal RNA (411 nucleotides) under Tetrastemma sp. VE NEP-2021. RNAcentral's name for it is "partial large subunit ribosomal RNA". It matches the Rfam family "Bacterial large subunit ribosomal RNA", at positions 1930 to 2597 of the family's 2925-position model. The record is from RNAcentral. Lineage: Eukaryota; Metazoa; Nemertea; Enopla; Monostilifera; Tetrastemmatidae.
GCCGCGGUAUUUUGACCGUGCAAAGGUAGCAUAAUCAUUUGCCUCUUAAUUGGGGGCUAGUAUGAAUGGAAUAACAAAAGAUUUUCUUUAUUUUUUAGACUUUUGUAAUUUUCUUUUUUAGUGAAGAAGCUAAAAUUUUUCAAUAAGACAAGAAGACCCUUUUGAGUUUUAUUUCUUUUUUUUUUUUUUAAACUAAAAAAAUUUGGUUGGGGCGACCAAGGAAAAUUGAAUCUUCCUUUUUUUAUUUUGAUCCAAAGUUUUUGAUUUAAAGACUAAAUUACCAAAGGGAUAACAGCGUUAUUUUUUUUAAGAGUUCUUAUCGAAAAUUAAGAUUGCGACCUCGAUGUUGACUUAUAGUUUCCUUUUGGUGUAGCCGUUUUAAGGGUGGGUCUGUUCGACCUUUAAAACUUU